AGGAUUUUUGACGGACGACCUUUUCACGGCUGAAGAUAACGGCAACCAGAAGAAAUACCUUGGCGUGUGCAAGUUGCCAGGAGAGAACAGCAAGCAUUGACGCCUGGAUAUCAUCGUUGUGCCAUACGACGAAGACGCAUGCGCGCUGGUAUACUUCACAGGCUCCGCCCAUUUCAAUCGCUCGUUGCGUCAUCUGGUGAAGAAGAUGGGAAUGUCAUUGUCCGAGAAUUCCUUGAAUGUUGGCGUCGUCAGGAAUGGGACAGAAAAGAUCUACGAAGGUACCCCAGUGCCAACCCCACGGAAAAAUCGGUGUUU
Molecule: long non-coding RNA, 315 nt
Organism: Dreissena polymorpha
Lineage: Eukaryota; Metazoa; Mollusca; Bivalvia; Myida; Dreissenidae
Exons: 3
Source: RefSeq, a predicted model, not a curated record